Molecule: RNA transcript, 1496 nt
Organism: Malaclemys terrapin pileata
Lineage: Eukaryota; Metazoa; Chordata; Testudines; Emydidae
Gene name: protein TUNAR
Exons: 4
Source: RefSeq, a predicted model, not a curated record
ACCCAUCCUUGCCUGCUGCUUCCUGGGCUGCUACUUGUAUCUUCAUUCCUUACUGCUUCUCUAGCCAUUUGAAUCAUCUUUUUAAACUGCCUUCUGCUCCUAAAAUGAUCACUCUGUCAUCUGGGAAAGGCUAAACAUGUAAAAGCAUUUUCAUUUCUGUAGCAUUCACUUUCAUUUACUCUCUUCUUUCUAUUCAAGUCAAGCAGCACAGAGUGCUGUGUAAAUAGCAAAGCCUGUACGACAUCCAGUUUUGAAGUAUUUUUAAAAUACAGUAUUGAAAAAAGAAGAGACAAACUGCAAGGAAAAUGCUAAGCUGCUCCUGAGCCUGAUGACGAUGUAGGUAUUUUGUCUUGGUUACCUGAGCAAUCUCCAGAAGCUUGAAUGGAUUACAAUAAUAUUCUAACAAGGCUGCAGGCAUCCUCAACAGCUUUCAUCUACAGAAGAAGAUAAGAGAUGGAAGAAUGUAAUUAUUUCCAUGUAAGCUAAAUUCCAGUAGCUGACUGCCAUGAUAGGGAAAGCCCUGAAAACUUCGCUGUCUUAAAUGUUUUCAUCUCAUAUAAAACAAAUAGUGGAAAAAUUUGCCAAGGUUUCCUGCAGGGCAACUGAACAUACAAGUGCGGAGAGGUGGAAGUAGGAGAGAGACAGAAACCAAAACCUCUGGAUCUUCGUCUUCUCGGUGCUGCUACUGCUGAGGCUGUGGUGAAGUCCCUCUGACACCACAUAUCUGGGAAUGAAGAACUUCUCAGAGCUGAUUGGAAAUGGCAUUGCUGCGCUGAAACUUAACUGGAGGAAAUACAUCUCCCGAAGAAGAAAAUAUAAUGCACUUUAAGGAUCUGACUUCUGGUGAAAAAUUCAAGCCUAGAGAAAACUUGUCCGCUUUAUUAAGAAGAAUGGGUUGGACAAUCUUCUUCAAUUCCAAAGGAUAUCUGAACGCCAUGCUGAGCUUAAUCUCUGCAGCAUGCUCUGUGCUUCUCUUCUCCUCCUGAUGCACUGCAUGCCCCAUCUGCGACUGUCUCACAACCUAGCCUGGCAUCACACUCCCAGAGGCUAGCGAGGAUUAGGCAUAGGAAGAAGAGGACACGGGAGGACAUGUUCUCAGAGCUUAUGGCCUGCUCCCGAGCCCAGGCAGCACAGCAGACCCAGUGGCGGGAGAACUUGUCCCAAAUGCAGCAAGCAAACAUGGAUCGGGAGGAGAGGUGGCGGCAGGAAGACCAGCAGGCGACUCAAACCCUGCUUGGACUACUGAGGGAGCAAACGGACACGCUCCGGCGCCUUGUGGAUGUUCUGCAGGAACGGAGGCAGGAGGACAGAGCCCCACUGCAGUCCAUCUCUAACCGCCCUCCCCCGCCACCAAGUCCCAUACCCCCCUCACCCAAAGUGCACAGAAGGAGAGGCAGCAGAGUCCACGCAAACUCUCACUCCACCCCUGCAGAGAGCUCUAGUAGCAGAAGGCUCUCAUUCCCCAAAAUUUGACAAGUUCUUUCCUUCCCGCCUGA